This 1091-nucleotide unclassified non-coding RNA is filed under the name Anneissia japonica. RNAcentral describes it as "uncharacterized LOC117100360, transcript variant X3". Lineage: Eukaryota; Metazoa; Echinodermata; Crinoidea; Comatulida; Comatulidae. The record is from RNAcentral.
UACACAUGUGCAUGUGACAAGUUUUACUUCUCUUUUAAUCAUCAUUUUCAGCUUUAAAAGUCAACAUAGUCCUUGAUUGUUUUAUUAAUGAUCAAUAUAUAACAAGUAUCUAUGGAAGUUGUGUUGGAGUAAAAUCCACAAUCUAGGUAUUUAAGAAGAUAACAACAUACAAACAAAUUCAAAACAAAAUUAGUGUGGAGUGGGAUCAGAAUACUUAGAAACUGCCUACUGUUGGCCUAGGACCCCUCAGACUUAACUGUAUAGGCUUGUGAGGCCUAGUUUAUGCCAGUGUAAGUAGUACCAGUGCAAACAUAUAGGAAUUUGGGUCAACCCCAAUUUUACGAAUACCCGCAAUUACAAAUGGCUCUGGGCCCGUGCCGUAUGUAAUUGAGGGGUUCUACUGUAUAGAGACUUUAGACUCUGCCAUGGUUUAGAGCACUGAGUUUCCAAAUGAAAAAGCACUUCAAUCCACAAACCUCGAUAAGACUUAGUUGUAGGAAAUCAAGGUGGGGGGUGGGGGAGGUAGUUUCUUUCAAGCUGGGGAUUAUCUCCCUUCCCUGCCCUGCUAGUGCUACUGUUAUAGAGUGAUCAUUCUUUCUCUGUAUUCUGAAGGUCAAAUCAGGCUAAUCUGCCAUGCAACUUUCUUGAGAAGCUUCUUGAGUGCAGGCUGAGUGAUUGUGAACGUUUACAUCCUGCUACUACUUUUUAAGUAGUGUCACUGGAAUUCUCAUUGUCGACCAUACUCAUGAAAGAAGCAGUCAAAGAGGCAAAGCUUGUCAAACUAAGUACUCCAGUAUCACAAACCACGCCCAAACCUCACCCAUAUACAAUUCAGCACAAUGACAAUUCAGCACAAUGACGCUGCGAGUUAUGGCUAAUUCUCCUACCUUUACUUUUAUGUUACUAUUUUCCAAGUAAUGUAUUAUUAAUAAGUGAUAACUUGUUGGAAUGGAUAAAAUCUGAGACUUGUUUUCCAAGGUGUCAUUUUUGUAGUGAGUUGACUACUCCUCUCUGAAGAGUGUACUGUAUUUGGUGUUUAAGACCAAUACCUUAAAUGUCUUUUACGGAAACGUGCGCUAUUUUAACUUGAA